RNAcentral lists this small nucleolar RNA (48 nucleotides) under Pyrobaculum aerophilum str. IM2. Its description in RNAcentral is "PAEsR102". The record is from RNAcentral. Lineage: Archaea; Thermoproteati; Thermoproteota; Thermoprotei; Thermoproteales; Thermoproteaceae.
AUGAUGAGGACGGGAUAAUACGAGAUGUGAUGAAAAGAACCCGGCUGA